This 126-nucleotide small RNA is filed under the name Marmota monax (woodchuck). Lineage: Eukaryota; Metazoa; Chordata; Mammalia; Rodentia; Sciuridae. The record is from RNAcentral.
GCCAGGCACAGCGGUGCAGGCCUGUAAUCCCAGCGGCUCAGGAGGCUGAGGCAGGAGGAUCAUGAGUUCAGAAGACAGCCUCAGCAAAAGUGAGGCACUAAGCAACUCAGUGAGACCCUGUCUCUA